UGGGGGAUCGUCCAAUGGCAGGACGGCAGACUCUGGAUCUGUCUAUCGGGGUUCGAAUCCCUGUCCCCCAG
This 71-nucleotide transfer RNA is filed under the name candidate division Zixibacteria bacterium SM1_73. Its description in RNAcentral is "tRNA-Gln". It matches the Rfam family "tRNA". From Rfam's summary of the family: Transfer RNA (tRNA) molecules are approximately 80 nucleotides in length. Their secondary structure includes four short double-helical elements and three loops (D, anti-codon, and T loops). The record is from RNAcentral. Lineage: Bacteria; Pseudomonadati; Candidatus Zixiibacteriota. RNAcentral also lists the same sequence under 2 other names.